Molecule: ribosomal RNA, 605 nt
Filed under: uncultured Actinomycetes bacterium
Lineage: Bacteria; Bacillati; Actinomycetota; Actinomycetes
Description: bacterial SSU rRNA
Rfam family: Bacterial small subunit ribosomal RNA
Source: RNAcentral
UGGCGAACGGGUGAGUAACACGUGAGUAACCUGCCCUCUUCUUUGGGAUAACGCCCGGAAACGGGUGCUAAUACUGGAUAUUCACUGAUCUUCGCAUGGGGGUUGGUGGAAAGGUUUUUUCUGGUGGGGGAUGGGCUCGCGGCCUAUCAGCUUGUUGGUGGGGUGAUGGCCUACCAAGGCUUUGACGGGUAGCCGGCCUGAGAGGGUGACCGGUCACAUUGGGACUGAGAUACGGCCCAGACUCCUACGGGAGGCAGCAGUGGGGAAUAUUGCACAAUGGGCGAAAGCCUGAUGCAGCGACGCCGCGUGAGGGAUGGAGGCCUUCGGGUUGUAAACCUCUUUCGCUCAUGGUCAAGCCGCAACGCUGGUUGUGGUGAGGGUAGUGGGUAAAGAAGCGCCGGCUAACUACGUGCCAGCAGCCGCGGUAAUACGUAGGGCGCGAGCGUUGUCCGGAAUUAUUGGGCGUAAAGGGCUUGUAGGCGGUUGGUCGCGUCUGCCGUGAAAUCCUCUGGCUUAACUGGGGGCGUGCGGUGGGUACGGGCUGACUUGAGUGCGGUAGGGGAGGCUGGAACUCCUGGUGUAGCGGUGGAUGCGCAGAUAUCAGG